Molecule: ribosomal RNA, 254 nt
Filed under: uncultured bacterium
Lineage: Bacteria
Description: partial 16S ribosomal RNA
Rfam family: Bacterial small subunit ribosomal RNA
Source: RNAcentral
UACGAAGGGGGCAAGCGUUGUUCGGAAUUACUGGGCGUAAAGGGCGCGUAGGCGGCUUGGCAAGUCGGGUGUGAAAACUCCAGGCUCAACCUGGAGACGCCACCCGAUACUGCCAUGGCUUGAGUCCGGUAGGGGACCACGGAAUUCCUGGUGUAGCGGUGAAAUGCGCAGAUAUCAGGAGGAACACCGGUGGCGAAGGCGGUGGUCUGGGCCGGUACUGACGCUGAGGAGCGAAAGCGUGGGGAGCGAACAGG